GCUGGGUGCGGUGGCGUGUGCCUGUAGUCCCAGCUACUCAGGAGGCUGUGGCUGGAGGAUGCUUGAGCCCAGGAGUUCUGGGCUGUAGUGCACUAUGCCGAUCGGGUGUCUGCACUAAGGUCUGCAUCAAUAUGGUGACCUCCCGGGAGCGAGGGACCACCAGCUUGCCUAAGGAGGGGUGAACCAGCCCAGGUCGAACACGGAGCAGGUCAAAACUCCCGUGCUGAUCAGCAGUGGGAUCGAACCUGUGAAUAGCCACUGCCCUCCAGCCUGGGCAACAUAGCAAGAUGCCAUGU
This 296-nucleotide signal recognition particle RNA is filed under the name Aotus nancymaae (Ma's night monkey). RNAcentral describes it as "Metazoan signal recognition particle RNA (ENSANAG00000007736.1)". It matches the Rfam family "Metazoan signal recognition particle RNA". Rfam says of the family: The signal recognition particle (SRP) is a universally conserved ribonucleoprotein. It is involved in the co-translational targeting of proteins to membranes. The record is from Rfam by way of RNAcentral. Lineage: Eukaryota; Metazoa; Chordata; Mammalia; Primates; Aotidae.